UGUGUUAUCAUUGCAUUCCGCCACUCCUAACUAUCUGUUGUGUAAUUUUUUUGCAUAGCUAAAAGCCUAAAAAUAGUUGAAUCUGAUUAUUUUUUAGUUAUUUUUUUUUUCUCAUAAGAAAUUAAAUGCAUUUGGUUUCGUUCACAUAAGCAUUGUUUUAUAUUAGCUGGAGAUUAGAGACACAUUAACACUAACACCCUAUUGUUAUCUUUGAUUUUUGUGCAUAUCGUCUAGUUGUUUAAUUAUGUCCUUUUUGGAUUAGCUUCUAGCUUGUGGAAGCUUGUCAACUGAAUAAGUAUUACAUUUCUAUCUUGCAUGUUGCAACAUAAAAGCCCUUACAAGAUCAACAAGGCUGUUACAAUUAUGGCGCUUCAUGGUGUCGUGUUUGCACCAAAUUCUCCCUGCAUUCUGUAGUAUGAGCAACAAAUUCCCAAAUCUUUCAUUUAUAUUCACAUAUAUUGAUGAAUGUCCGGAAACAACUCAACACAUUCGAUACACUUCGAACUUUCAGUUUUUUUGAGAUGGUGAAAAGGUAGAUGAGAUGUAUGGUACCGAAAAAGAGAUGUAUGUUAAGAUGUAAACAUUAUGUUUUCAAUUUCUCAAUUGAUGUAACAUUGUCGAUUGCCUAUUAUCAACAAUUCAUGGUAAUUCAGGUUAAAGCUUAAUUAUUGAAUGACAUCAGUAGAAA
Long non-coding RNA from Cicer arietinum (chickpea), 688 nucleotides. RefSeq lists it as uncharacterized. NCBI's taxonomy places the organism in Eukaryota, Viridiplantae, Streptophyta, Magnoliopsida, Fabales, Fabaceae. The record is from RefSeq and is a predicted model, not a curated record.